UACGUAGGGGGCUAGCGUUAUCCGGAAUUACUGGGCGUAAAGGGUGCGUAGGUGGUUUGAUAAGUCAGUGGUGAAAGUCUGUCGCUUAACGGUAGGAUUGCCAUUGAUACUGUUGGACUUGAAUAUGGAUGAGGUAGGCGGAAUGUGUAGUGUAGCGGUGAAAUGCAUAGAUAUUACACAGAACACCGAUUGCGAAGGCAGCUUACUAAUCCAUCAUUGACGCUGAGGCACGAAAGCGUGGGGAUCAAACAGGAUUAGA
This 259-nucleotide ribosomal RNA is filed under the name uncultured prokaryote. Its description in RNAcentral is "partial 16S ribosomal RNA". It matches the Rfam family "Bacterial small subunit ribosomal RNA", at positions 524 to 782 of the family's 1533-position model. The record is from RNAcentral.